AGCUUUGCACAGAGGCAGUAUUGUAGCCUAUGAAAUUUAUCUGAGGUAUGAUUGUUGCUAUUGAAAACUUUUCCCAAUACUAUGCUAUGACAACUUGAAAUAUAGUCAGCCUAGGCAAUUUUUGACAGUCUCUAUGGAGA
Molecule: small nuclear RNA, 140 nt
Organism: Marmota marmota marmota (Alpine marmot)
Lineage: Eukaryota; Metazoa; Chordata; Mammalia; Rodentia; Sciuridae
Gene: U4
Rfam family: U4 spliceosomal RNA
About the family: U4 small nuclear RNA (U4 snRNA) is a component of the major U2-dependent spliceosome.
Source: Ensembl